Long non-coding RNA from Mugil cephalus (flathead mullet), 1812 nucleotides. RefSeq lists it as uncharacterized. Lineage: Eukaryota; Metazoa; Chordata; Actinopteri; Mugiliformes; Mugilidae. The transcript has 5 exons. The record is from RefSeq and is a predicted model, not a curated record.
CAUUCGAUCCAUGUUCUUUCCUUUUAGAACCAUUCAGAGAGAGAACCUCAAUAACAAUCUGACCUGUGACUCUGUCUCUUAGUCGUGUUGUGAUGGCAGGAAACACCAGACCAGACAAGCAGGCAGCCGGCUGGACUUUAGACAUGGGGAGUAAUGUUUUUGCAGCAUCGAUCCAUUUGGUGCAGAGUUUGACUGCCACAGUUCUAAGGUGCCACUGGUUGUCAGCAGAGUCCGUCGGAUUAACCUCUCGGCCAUGACAGCUGACUUUUAGAGUUCUGGAUCAACACCUCAAACCCACGAUCCUUCACUCCCAGUCAGACAAAAUGAAGCUAAGAGGAAGAUGUCUGACUCCCCUUUGAUCGAUGAGCUGGGAUCAGGAUCCCAGUGGCAAAGAGAUCAGCCAAAAGUCAUCAAACUCUACCUGGUCCUGGACCUGGGACACAGGGUGAACAUUACUGCAGGUUUUCGUCUCUAACAGAGCCCCAAAACAUCUUGUCUACCUCCUCCUGACUACUUUCUACCCUGGGGGGACCAGAUGUGGGAAACAGGACAGCUGCUUCUAAUCCCCUGUCUUCAGUUGGAGCUUCUCUGUGUCAUAGCUCUGUGUCCUCGUCCCUGCAGAGGACAGAGUCCCAGUUGUGGAUCAGUUUCUACAAACUGCAGAUGACGAUCAAAGAAACGUGUUUUUAUCUCGUCCUCUGAGGGACGCUGCAGGACAGACUGCAUCAUGAAACAGUCUCAGGCUGAUUCCAUAAGAGGAGGAAAAGAAGGACGGAGCAGCGUCUCCACCAUCCAAAUGUCCAUAACCCACUGUUACCUGUCCCACACAGACACCCAGACCCGGUCCCACACGCUGGAAAAGAACAUUUUAUUAUAUUAUGUACAUGUGUAAGUAGAGGGGAGGAGCAACGAAAGUGAAAGCGUCCGCUCAGUGUGUUCCUCCUCCAUUUUUAGUCAGUGUGUGGAUGAAGGAGGAGGCUGGAGCUGGUGAGUAGAGGGAACAACAGUCACAACAAUCUGAUUUGAAUUUGAACAUUUGCACAAACUUGUGAUCGAUGGUUCUGUUGCUUCUUUAAACGGUGUCACGCAUGUGUCGCCUCCUGUUCUCACUGUGCCCCUGAACGCACCACAGAGACUUCAUUUCUUGGUUUUACAGAACUUUUUGGUUUUGAACUACGGCUCAGUCAAAGUCUUGGAUGCUGGAAUAUUUGUGGCUUCUGCCUUUUGUUGCUCCGUCUUCUCCAGAAAUACAUUUUGUCUCUGUCCAUACACACACACUACACACACACAAAGCAACCCUUCAUAAUUCUGUUCAUAAGACAGACUUCUGUCAUGGGGCUGUAGACGGCUGACCUGUGCUAUUUACUGCAAAACAGAGGUUUUUCUUUGGGUUCAUGCAGCAAUUUACACACAAAGGUAAUAAACAAAGUAUCAUAUGUGCUACUGUAAUACACGGCGUAUUUCAACUUGCAGUAAUAUGAUGUAUGCUGGGUCCUGAGGUGAGUGAAUGCUCCACAUUUACUCUACACAUCUGCCGCCUAGAUCCCUCAAUGAAUUCUUACCUGUUACAAGACAAGACACGACAUGCCGUCAAACUUCAUCCUUCCCUUUGUUUAACCCAACAACGCCGAUCAUCUUUUACUUCCAGAGGGACCGUGUUACAGAGGAACUCCUCCACACUGAUGAUGCUCACAUGACAGAUGGAAGUCUAGAAGAUGGAGGACGACGGGGACAGAGUGAGCUGGUCGCUGAGUCGCUGGUUCAAACGUUUUAAUCCAGACAUCAGUAAAAAACCUGCACCCUCAGACACAG